Molecule: ribosomal RNA, 499 nt
Filed under: uncultured bacterium
Lineage: Bacteria
Description: bacterial SSU rRNA
Rfam family: Bacterial small subunit ribosomal RNA
Source: RNAcentral
GAUGAACGCUAGCGGCAGGCUUAAUACAUGCAAGUUGAGGGGCAGCAUGAUAUACGCGAGUAUAUUGAUGGCGACCGGCGGACGGGUGAGUAAUAGGUAGGAGACCUACCUCAUACAGGGGGAUAGCAUAGAGAAAUCUGUGGUAAUACCCCAUGAGGUUAUAUGAAUAGAGGCAUAUAAUCAAAGCAUAAGCGAUUAUGCGGUAUGAGAGGGGCCUACUGACCAUUAGCUAGUUGGUGAGGUAAGGGCUCACCAAGGCGAAGAUGGUUAGGGGUUUUGAGAGAGAGACCCCCCACAUUGGAACUGAGAGACGGUCCAGACUCCUACGGGAGGCAGCAGUAGGGAAUAUUGGGCAAGUGGGCGAAAGCCUGACCCCAGCCAUGCCGCGUGAAGGAAGACGGCCUUAUGGGUUGUAAACUUCUUUACUACGCGAAUAGAGUUAGUACGAGAUAACUAAUAGGAAGGUAGUGUAGUAAAAAAGCGACCGGCUAACUCCGUG